AGUGAACGCUGGCGGUAGGCCUAACACAUGCAAGUCGAACGGCAGCACAGUAAGAGCUUGCUCUUACGGGUGGCGAGUGGCGGAUGGGUGAGGAAUACAUCGGAAUCUACUUUUUCUUGGGGGAUAACGUAGGGAAACUUACGCUAAUACCGCAUACGACCUACGGGUGAAAGCAGUGGAUCUUCGGACCUUUCGCGAUUCAAUUAGCCGAUGUCGGAUUAGCUAGUUGGCGGGGUAAAGGCCCACCAAGGCGACGAUCCGUAGCUGGUCUGAGAGGAUGAUCAGCCACACUGGAACUGAGACACGGUCCAGACUCCUACGGGAGGCAGCAGUAGGGAAUAUUGGACAAUGGGCGCAAGCCUGAUCCAGCCAUACCGCGUGAGUGAUGAAGGCCUUCGGGUUGUAAAGCCCUUUUAUUAGGAAAGAAAAGCAGCAGGUUAAUCCCCCGCUGUUCUGACGGUACCCAAAGAAUAAGCACCGGCUAACUUCGUG
Molecule: ribosomal RNA, 492 nt
Filed under: uncultured bacterium
Lineage: Bacteria
Description: partial 16S ribosomal RNA
Rfam family: Bacterial small subunit ribosomal RNA
Source: RNAcentral